This is a long non-coding RNA of Leopardus geoffroyi (Geoffroy's cat), 88 nucleotides long. RefSeq lists it as uncharacterized. The record is from RefSeq and is a predicted model, not a curated record. The transcript is spliced from 3 exons. Lineage: Eukaryota; Metazoa; Chordata; Mammalia; Carnivora; Felidae.
UUUCCCUCCACAACGCUCUUUCGGCUGGUCUUGAACUGCUUCAGGGUGGCUGACAGAGUAACUGUGGAAAAGAACAGGAUCACUGACC